CCCGCCGCCUCCUCGCCGGCGGUUCAGGAGUAAAACAUUUUUAUAAUCAGGCGUUAUUGUUCGCCGCCUCCUUGCGGGAGAUGCGCCCAUGUUCAUUUUUUAAAAAGGGCAAAUCAGCCAUAAUUCAGUUCAUAAACUGCGGCGCGCGGGGGGAGAAAUGCCGGGAUGAAUAUUCAUUAGGGAGCGUCCGAACGGCCUCGCGCGGUGAUUCAUUGGCCAUAUGUAAAUAUCACUCACUUUAAUUGCCACUAAACUGACUCAACAUAAUGUUGUCAUUAGCAAAUUAUUACUUAUUUGUGAUACUAAUGGUAAGGUAUGGCGCCUCGUGCUGAAGCUCCACAUAUAUGAUUGCAAUUACAGCUCGUUUUGUUCACCGGGUGACCGCGAGUCAGAUGGAUCCUGCUGCACGUGCGUGCGUGUGUGUGUGUGUGUGUGUGUGUGUGUGUGUGUGUGUGCGUGUGUGUGUGUGUGUGUUUUCACUGACACAUGCACGGAAGAGGAGACAUCCUUUUUGUCUCACGCACAUGCAAUGGAAACUGAACUCGGUGUUUUAGUUGUAUUGUGUAUGAAGGCUCCCUGAUCAUCUGGACUGCCUUUCGAAUUAUUUCUCCUUUAACGUAAAUGUUAGUUUGUUAUUCAGACAUUUUACAACAACAAAACAAUAAAGCCACAAUAACAACAUGUAGAUACAUCUGUGCUUAGGCAAUUAACCACAUCGGAAAAAUAAGACAUAUUCAGAAUAUAAUUAAAAUGUAUAUUUCAUAAAUGAAAAAGAAUGAAAUCCCAGAUUUCUAUAUUUUGGAUACAUCUAAAUUAUUCAGGAAAUGAUAUUAACAAAUCUUUUAAAAGUUCAAAUUUAGCUGAAAUCUGCAUUAAAAACACAAUUUUGAUAAUGCAGAUAAUCAUUUGAUGCUUUGAUAUUUGCAGUCAUGAUCUCCAAAGCGACGCCGCUUUCCAGAAUUGUUUUUUACAUACAUAAUCAUUUGGACAGAAAAAAGAAAACAUUUUGCAUAUAUUAUUACUGAUAUUACUGGCCUGAAAUUGCCAAAUUCCAACACAUCUUGAGUCUGAACUGUGAGCCAAUUGUGAAGAAAAGUUGACCAAUACUUAUGGGAAAAACCCUAAACAGGCUGUUGUGUAACCAUGUUUGCAUUCUCCCUAAAUCUCCUCAAAGGAACCCUUAAAAGUGACUAUUUUUUGUGUGAUUUAGGGAUUAAUGAUUCUUUGCAGAAUCACAUUGAGAUUUAAUCACAUACACGCAGAAAGAAAACAAAGCGUCAGCUC
Long non-coding RNA from Gasterosteus aculeatus aculeatus (three-spined stickleback), 1284 nucleotides. Lineage: Eukaryota; Metazoa; Chordata; Actinopteri; Perciformes; Gasterosteidae. The record is from Ensembl.